This 69-nucleotide transfer RNA is filed under the name Bipes canaliculatus. RNAcentral's name for it is "tRNA-Thr". It matches the Rfam family "tRNA". Rfam says of the family: Transfer RNA (tRNA) molecules are approximately 80 nucleotides in length. Their secondary structure includes four short double-helical elements and three loops (D, anti-codon, and T loops). Further hydrogen bonds mediate the characteristic L-shaped molecular structure. tRNAs have two regions of fundamental functional importance: the anti-codon, which is responsible for specific mRNA codon recognition, and the 3' end, to which the tRNAs corresponding amino acid is attached (by aminoacyl-tRNA synthetases). tRNAs cope with the degeneracy of the genetic code in two manners: having more than one tRNA (with a specific anti-codon) for a particular amino acid; and 'wobble' base-pairing, i.e. permitting non-standard base-pairing at the 3rd anti-codon position. The record is from RNAcentral. Lineage: Eukaryota; Metazoa; Chordata; Lepidosauria; Squamata; Bipedidae.
GCCCUAGUAGCUUACACCAAAAAGUGCCGGCCUUGUAAGCCGGAGACGAGCCCACAUGCUCCAAGGGCU